AAGUCGUAACAAGGUCUCCGUUGGUGAACCAGCGGAGGGAUCAUUACUGAGUCGUAAAACAUCCCAAACCCCAUGUGAAUCUACCUAUGUUUGCCCUCGGGAGGGACCUACCCGGGUAACUACCCCUGUACCUACCCUGUAGCCUGCCGGUGGACAAUCAACUCUUGUUAUUUUAUGGAAACUGAGCGUCUUAUUAAAUAAGCAAA
RNAcentral lists this unclassified non-coding RNA (206 nucleotides) under plant metagenome. RNAcentral's name for it is "partial contains small subunit ribosomal RNA and internal transcribed spacer 1". The stretch from base 1 to 46 matches the Rfam family "Eukaryotic small subunit ribosomal RNA", at positions 1786 to 1831 of the family's 1831-position model. The record is from RNAcentral.